RNAcentral lists this ribosomal RNA (1436 nucleotides) under Lactiplantibacillus plantarum. Its description in RNAcentral is "bacterial SSU rRNA". It matches the Rfam family "Bacterial small subunit ribosomal RNA". Lineage: Bacteria; Bacillati; Bacillota; Bacilli; Lactobacillales; Lactobacillaceae. The record is from RNAcentral.
GCAGUCGAACGAACUCUGGUAUUGAUUGGUGCUUGCAUCAUGAUUUACAUUUGAGUGAGUGGCGAACUGGUGAGUAACACGUGGGAAACCUGCCCAGAAGCGGGGGAUAACACCUGGAAACAGAUGCUAAUACCGCAUAACAACUUGGACCGCAUGGUCCGAGCUUGAAAGAUGGCUUCGGCUAUCACUUUUGGAUGGUCCCGCGGCGUAUUAGCUAGAUGGUGGGGUAACGGCUCACCAUGGCAAUGAUACGUAGCCGACCUGAGAGGGUAAUCGGCCACAUUGGGACUGAGACACGGCCCAAACUCCUACGGGAGGCAGCAGUAGGGAAUCUUCCACAAUGGACGAAAGUCUGAUGGAGCAACGCCGCGUGAGUGAAGAAGGGUUUCGGCUCGUAAAACUCUGUUGUUAAAGAAGAACAUAUCUGAGAGUAACUGUUCAGGUAUUGACGGUAUUUAACCAGAAAGCCACGGCUAACUACGUGCCAGCAGCCGCGGUAAUACGUAGGUGGCAAGCGUUGUCCGGAUUUAUUGGGCGUAAAGCGAGCGCAGGCGGUUUUUUAAGUCUGAUGUGAAAGCCUUCGGCUCAACCGAAGAAGUGCAUCGGAAACUGGGAAACUUGAGUGCAGAAGAGGACAGUGGAACUCCAUGUGUAGCGGUGAAAUGCGUAGAUAUAUGGAAGAACACCAGUGGCGAAGGCGGCUGUCUGGUCUGUAACUGACGCUGAGGCUCGAAAGUAUGGGUAGCAAACAGGAUUAGAUACCCUGGUAGUCCAUACCGUAAACGAUGAAUGCUAAGUGUUGGAGGGUUUCCGCCCUUCAGUGCUGCAGCUAACGCAUUAAGCAUUCCGCCUGGGGAGUACGGCCGCAAGGCUGAAACUCAAAGGAAUUGACGGGGGCCCGCACAAGCGGUGGAGCAUGUGGUUUAAUUCGAAGCUACGCGAAGAACCUUACCAGGUCUUGACAUACUAUGCAAAUCUAAGAGAUUAGACGUUCCCUUCGGGGACAUGGAUACAGGUGGUGCAUGGUUGUCGUCAGCUCGUGUCGUGAGAUGUUGGGUUAAGUCCCGCAACGAGCGCAACCCUUAUUAUCAGUUGCCAGCAUUAAGUUGGGCACUCUGGUGAGACUGCCGGUGACAAACCGGAGGAAGGUGGGGAUGACGUCAAAUCAUCAUGCCCCUUAUGACCUGGGCUACACACGUGCUACAAUGGAUGGUACAACGAGUUGCGAACUCGCGAGAGUAAGCUAAUCUCUUAAAGCCAUUCUCAGUUCGGAUUGUAGGCUGCAACUCGCCUACAUGAAGUCGGAAUCGCUAGUAAUCGCGGAUCAGCAUGCCGCGGUGAAUACGUUCCCGGGCCUUGUACACACCGCCCGUCACACCAUGAGAGUUUGUAACACCCAAAGUCGGUGGGGUAACCUUUUAGGAACCAGCCGCCUA